CUAAAACGCCGCCAAUCUGCUUGCCUGCAGGCCCCUUCUUCCCGCUCACUCCCUCCUUCGAUCAAUCCACUUUCCACUUUUUCCUUAAAGAAGAUUCAUCUUUACUCACUGUAUUUCGAUUCUAGAGUUUAUUCUUUCCGAUGAUUACCGUUGCUCUUUCGAUUUCUAUCAUUAAUUUAAUUUGUUUGAUUGUUUUCACCAUUUUUAUUUCUCCGACUUUGCCAUGGAAAAGCCAAUCUGCUUCUGCUCGCGUGGAGAGGAGCAAGCAGGUUUAUUGCCUUCCUCAUCCUCGAGGAAGACGAUUCCUUUUUCAAAGUUGGGAUUUUUCUACCUCCGCCUCCUUAGCGGCAGUAUUUGUGAACAACAACAAUUGAUCUGCCUUAGGUCGGACCGCCUUUACACCAUCGGACGGACGAGACGGCAUUGCCAAAUCGUAUUUGACCACUGCUGUAUCAGCCGGCGUCACUGUCAGAUCUUUUUCGACGGAGCCGACCGAAGGCUCAGAUUGGUAGACGGGUUCUUACUUUCCCGCGAUUUUGAUCUCGAAGAGAUUAGGCGGAGACUCCGGUCCGAGCGCCAGGUUUUAGGGUUUAGGGUUUCUCUGAAUGGCGUAUUCGUAAACAGGCGAAAGCUUCUUGGAGGCGCCGUUGCAGAGUUGUCAGAGGGAGACGAGGUUGUCUUUGGCUGUGGCAGAUUAAGUUCGGUCUCUCAUUGUACGAGGAAAUACGGGUUUGUGGUGGAGAGAAUUAUUCUCUCAGAUUUUGCAGAAACCUUAGAUGUAAGUGGAAAAUUCGUGACCAGAGCGGAUCGCCUUCAAAACCUCUGCCAAAGAGUUUUAAGAAGUGAAGAUCCUAUAUGCUAUCUGCGUUGUUCUCUAGAGUCGAAUUCUGGAACGAUAAGCUCAAUACAUGGAGUUAGAGAUCAUGCCUCAGCCGCAUCAUUUCCGGUUCUGGGUUCAGAGGGCCAUACCAGACAGAACGAUAAAACAGCUAAUUAUGUUCAAAAUGAAAAGAUUUUAGCAGUAGAUCAUGUUGGCAAUGCAGAAACUAGUCCUUCGUCGCUUGAGAGAGGAAACAAUCUUUGUAGUAGUUUCUCCAAUGGUCAGUCUUUCUCUCUGAAUAGACUAGAAUUUAUGGCUCAUGAUACUUCAUAUCAGCAUACUGAGGUUACAUUGAUGGAGCUUCUUGAUCCCGUUGAAAGCCUUGUCCAAGUUUUUAUUGCAACUUUUACUUGCGAUGUUUCUUGGUUUCUAUCUUACUGUCAAAUUCCCAACCAUCUACCAGUAACAAUUGCUUUUCAUUCUGCUGAAAAAUGCUGGAGUUCUUGCUGCGAUGAUAGGACUUCGGCUCCAUAUUCAGACUAUCCAAAUUUAUUGCUUGUGUAUCCUCCAUUUCCAGAUGAAAUAGCAUUUGGUAAUGAUCGUAGUAAAAAAGGUGUGGCAUGCCAUCAUCCCAAACUGCUUGUUUUGCAGAGAGAAGAGAGUGUUCGUGUCGUUGUUACUUCAGCUAACUUGGUUUCGAAACAGUGGAAUCAAAUCACAAAUACAGUUUGGUGGCAAGAUUUUCCUCGUAGAGAUGCCCCUGAUUAUUCAUCCCUUUUUGCUACCAUUAAAGAUUUGAAAUCUGAUUUUGCAGCCCAGCUAGCUGGUUUUAUAGCAUCUCUUAUUAGUGAUGUUCCUAGCCAAGCACACUGGAUCAAAGAAUUGGCCAGAUUUGACUUUGGAGGGGCUGCUGCUUAUCUGGUUGCUUCCAUCCCUGGAAUGCAUGCACUAUACACAAUUUCUUCCGGAAUUAAUUUGUUCCAAAAUACUGAGGAGCACAUCGUGCUUUCAAAGGUUAUUACUUCGACAAAAUAUCUUGGUUCUGUUCAAGCAUCCGUAGUAGGUUUACGCCAUAGGUUUCAUAAUGCAAUUGAUUCAAGAGGUGAACAACUAAAGAAGCUGGCUUUAUUUCUUGGGAAGUUUAAAGAUAGUUCAUCCCGACUCAUGGAGGUUGUCCUGAAGAGAAACCACAAUAUUCCUGCAGAUGCUAAUGCUAUUAGUAUUUUGGUUUCCAACUUGGAUGAAAUGUCUAAUGGAGACUCUGUCCAACUUGGUUUUCUUCCAAGAGAUGUCGCAAAGUGGGCAGCCCCUCUUGUUGAUCAUGGGUUCUUAGAAAUUGCAGCAUUUGUAUGUCCUAAGGAAGCCCUAGCUGCUGCGUUAGAUGGAAAUAAUACAAAAAUUUCCAUUUCAAGUUCCUCACAUUUGAGAUUCAAAUCAUGCGAAAAUGACGGGAAAAUUAUGCAAUGCAGGGGCCAAAGUUUUCUGAAAUGUCAAGAUUAAUUCAAGCUGAACACUUACCUGCUUUAUGCUUAUUUAUUGCAUCCAUCCAACGGUGCCUUGGUCUGUGGCGCCUGAAAGAGGCAUCUUUCAAUGGUAUUAACAUCUAUUGGCAUCGUUCUGGACUUGGAUGUUGAUUUUGUUGUGUUUAAAACUUGAUAUUAGGUUAUGUCUCAGUACAAAUGGCCAGAAUAUUUAGAGACAGAUUUUGCGUAUG
RNA transcript from Dendrobium catenatum, 2534 nucleotides. RefSeq lists it as uncharacterized. The record is from RefSeq and is a predicted model, not a curated record. NCBI's taxonomy places the organism in Eukaryota, Viridiplantae, Streptophyta, Magnoliopsida, Asparagales, Orchidaceae. The transcript has 8 exons.